AAACACUUACAGCAGGGAACGGGGACUUGUGCAGAGACUGCGACGACCAACAGAGAGACUGCGAGAAGAAACAUCCUUCUGACUACUGACGAAUUGGUGACUGAGAUACGACAGGAACUGGUCCAUUGAAGAGGCAAAGAAAGUCAGAUGCAGCAUGUGCCGUCAGUUUUCCCAUGGCGUGGAUACAGGGAUACUGACCAUGCAAGAAGUGAAAGGAGAGCUGCUCGCAAUCGCCGUACAAUGGUGGAAGGGGAUGAAACAGAAGAGGUCUUCAUGGAAUGUGAUGAUACUGACGUUUCGAAUGCUUCAAUCUUUUGUACGGUAGAGACAACGGAUAAUGACACAGCAGUAUCAGAUCGAAUUAAUGAACUUGAUGUCCAACAGAGUGAGGAUGUAAGCCUCAUGGAUCAAUCGGAACUCCUUGAAUGUCUCGCGCACUCUAUGUCGAGGAAUUCCGAUUGCCUCAUCGAUGCUUCAUGUCAAGCCCUUCCCACACCCAUGAUGUCUAUUGAAACCGAGAGGCCCAUGGGCCACAUCGCUUACCUGCGUCACCUUGGCUCACAUUUAAAGAUUUUCCCUAUAUAUUCACAUGUAAAACUUUGAUCCCUAUUGUGGCCCCAUCCUACUCCCGGGGGCCAUGAUUUUUUUUUUCAAAAUUGAAUCUGGACUAUGUCAGGAAGCUUUCAUGUGAAUAUAAACUUUUCUGGCCCAGUGAUUUUUCAGAUGAAUUUUGUUUAAUGAUUUUCCCAAUAUAUUUGUAUGUAAAAGUUUGAUCCCCUAUUGACGCCUCAUCUUAUCCCCGGGGGCCAUGAAUUUGAUAAACUUGAAUCUGCACUAUGUCAGGAAGCUUUCAUGUAAAUUUCAACUUUCCUGGCCCAGUAGUUUUUUAGAAGAUUUUAAAAGAUUUUCCCUAUAUGUUUGUAUGCAAAACUUUGAUCCUCUCUUGUGGUCCCAUCCUACCCCCGGUGGCCAUGAUUUUAACAACCUUAAAUCUGCACCAUGUCAGAAAGCUUUCAUAUAAAUCUCAGCUUUUCUGGCUCAGUGGUUCUUGAAAAGAAGAUUUUUAAAGAUUGUCCCUAUAUAUUUGUAUGUAAAACUUUGAUCCCCUAUUGUCGCCCCAUCCAACCCCGGGGGCCAUGAUUUGAACAAACUUGAAUCUGCACUAUGUCAGAAAGCUUUCAUGUAAAUUUAAGCUUUUCUGGCCCAGUGGUUCUUGAGAAGAUUUUUAAAUGACCCCACCCUAUUUUUGCAUUUUUUGUGAUUAUCUUCCCUUUGAAAGGAACAUGGACCUUCCAUUUGAACAAACUUGAACCCAUUCAGUCAUAAUUAUUUUCUUUAACUAAUCUUGGUGUAGAGAUCUCCUUCAUUCAUAUGACAGAAUGGUAUUGCUUAUAGGAGUUAUGAGAUUGAUCACUGUUCGUUAUCUUCACCUUUUAUGAUGGAGACGUUGAAUGGUUCACAUCAUGGAGAAAAAGCUACUGUGAGAGACUUUAUAUCUCCGACCCCAAAGUAUGGACAGCAUCGCAGACGAUUGGUUUAUACUGAAUGACAAAUGUUUUUCAGUCAUUCAUGAAUUUGUUUUACAACAUAUAUUGAUUGAUUUUUAUGAUUAUAUAAUUGAAUUAUCA
Molecule: long non-coding RNA, 1628 nt
Organism: Ostrea edulis (European flat oyster)
Lineage: Eukaryota; Metazoa; Mollusca; Bivalvia; Ostreida; Ostreidae
Exons: 2
Source: RefSeq, a predicted model, not a curated record